AUAUAUUGUCAGCGGCCAAGCGAAAGCAUUAAGUAUUCCACCUGGGGAGUACGCCGGCAACGGUGAAACUCAAAGGAAUUGACGGGGGCCCGCACAAGCGGAGGAACAUGUGGUUUAAUUCGAUGAUACGCGAGGAACCUUACCCGGGCUUGAACUGCAACCGAAUGUCGCGGAAACGCGUCAGCUAGCAAUAGCGGUUGUGGAGGUGCUGCAUGGUUGUCGUCAGCUCGUGCCGUGAGGUGUCGGCUUAAGUGCCAUAACGAGCGCAACCCUUGCCGGCAGUUGCCAUCAGGUAAAGCUGGGGACUCUGCCGGGACUGCCAUCGUAAGAUGCGAGGAAGGUGGGGAUGACGUCAAAUCAGCACGGCCCUUACAUCCGGGGCGACACACGUGUUACAAUGGCGUGGACAAAGGGCGGCGACCUGGCGACAGGAAGCGAAUCCCCAAACCACGUCUCAGUUCGGAUCGGAGUCUGCAACCCGACUCCGUGAAGCUGGAUUCGCUAGUAAUCGCGCAUCAGCCAUGGCGCGGUGAAUACGUUCCCGGGCCUUGUACACACCGCCCGUCAAGCCAUGGGAGCCGGGGGUACCUGAAGUCCGUUACCGCGAGGAUCGGCCUAGGGUAAAACUGGUGACUGGGGCUAAGUCGUAACAAGGUAACC
RNAcentral lists this ribosomal RNA (660 nucleotides) under uncultured bacterium. RNAcentral describes it as "bacterial SSU rRNA". It matches the Rfam family "Bacterial small subunit ribosomal RNA", at positions 832 to 1501 of the family's 1533-position model. The record is from RNAcentral.